AUACGGAGGGUGCAAGCGUUGUUCGGAAUUACUGGGCGUAAAGCGCGCGUAGGCGGUUUGUUAAGUUGGAUGUGAAAGCCCCGGGCUUAACCUGGGGGGGUCAUUCAAAACUGGCAGACUAGAGUGUGGUAGAGGGUAGUGGAAUUCCUAGUGUAGCGGUGAAAUGCGUAGAGAUUAGGAGGAACACCAGUGGCGAAGGCGACUGCCUGGACCAACACUGACGCUGAGGUGCGAAAGCGUGGGUAGCGAACAGGAUUAGAAACCCCGGUAGUCC
Molecule: ribosomal RNA, 274 nt
Filed under: uncultured bacterium
Lineage: Bacteria
Description: partial 16S ribosomal RNA
Rfam family: Bacterial small subunit ribosomal RNA
Source: RNAcentral